This is a long non-coding RNA of Phyllopteryx taeniolatus (common seadragon), 1279 nucleotides long. RefSeq lists it as uncharacterized. The record is from RefSeq and is a predicted model, not a curated record. NCBI's taxonomy places the organism in Eukaryota, Metazoa, Chordata, Actinopteri, Syngnathiformes, Syngnathidae. The transcript has 3 exons.
UUUCUCAUUGUGAAAUCAAUUUGCAUUGAAUCUUUCUGUAAAGUGCUGAUGUUUGAAAUUCCCACUUAGGCCGUGGAUCCCCAUGGAAAAUUUCCAAGUGUGUCAACAAGGUGGAAGGACCCAUGACGUCGUCGUGGCGUGCCGCCAUAUUGAUGCUUUCCCGCCCUCGACAGCGUUGGUGUUGCGUGAGGCACGCUCGCCACAAAGUCUCUUUGAUUUGCUCCACAUUCGAACCUGACACGCCGAGAUCGACGUCAUCCCCUCGACUUGAUCCCGUCUAUGCGUUUGGACUUGCUUGCCGCCGCGCGCAAGUUCGCUUUUGUUGCAAGUCAAGCCUUGAUUAAAACAAUAAACGGCGCAAUUGUCAAUGCUCCAAGGAAGACAACACGAUGCUCAUUUAGGGCAUCAUUAAGUGCGAGAUAGGCCAUCUGCGAGCGGGCUAAGAAGAAUUCCCCGGACGCCGGCGGCAGCGUCUGGUCACCGACAAUGGCAACAGAUGGCCCGCUUGUAAAGACGCCGUGUUCGCCGCUUUCGGCGUGGAUGGGAACAUUGCCUGCCGAGACGCUUUCAGGCACCCCUGAGAAAUGAGACUGUAGCGUAAUUCUGCAAAUAGCGGCCGUGCCUCUGUUAGAAGUUCACAGUGGACAACCUAACAUGAAUGGCUAACAGCUAGCGCCCUUAGCCCUGUCCCAAAACGUCACCCCCUUUGCUCCCCAAACCCUAGCUCCCUUAACCUUAAUCCGAGCUCCCCAAACACUAACCUUAACCCGUUAGGACCCAAAACCUAGCCCCCUUAACCCUAUCGCUAAUCCUAACCCCUACUAGCUCCCUUAACUUGAACCCAUUUUUUCCCCCAUUGUUGACAUUUUAUAGAAUUUUUCAUGAAACAGCACAUAAGUGACUUUAUCAAAUGUUAAGUUCCAAGCCAUCGAUUCUCAAGGUGUGGUAUGGGUUCCCGCGAGUGCUACGCGAAAGAAUCACCGCCCAGGUGUCGCCAAAACCUCCUCGCAACAUACAACAGAAUAAAGCUUCCGAGACUCUCGAGGUUCUCUGUCAUCGACGUGACUUGAGGCAAGUGUGGCAUUUGUCAAUACAAUGUGUCAAUUAUGUAAAAAUUGUAAUAUUAUGGGGCGGCACGGUGGCCGACUGGUUAGAGCGUCAGCCUCACAGUUCUGAGGUGCGGGGUUCAAUCCCCGUCCCCGCCUGUGUGGAGUUUGCAUGUUCUCCCCGUGCCUGCGUGGGUUUUCUCCGGGCACUCCGGUUUCCUCCCACAUCCCAA